Long non-coding RNA from Bos taurus (domestic cattle), 565 nucleotides. The record is from Ensembl. NCBI's taxonomy places the organism in Eukaryota, Metazoa, Chordata, Mammalia, Artiodactyla, Bovidae.
AGGGUGACCCGGGGUCUGGGGAAGCGGGGGUCUCCCGCCUCGACGCCCAGUGUGGCCACAGGACAGAUGGGGAGCUUGGGCGCGAACCGAGAGCCGGCUCCCUGAGGCCAGAAAAUUAUUCUCCAGUUUGACUCUUGUGUCCUUUAAAGUUGAAGCGCAGGGCACUUGGUUUCAAGAGUUAAAUGUAAGGCUAAUACGGGGCACUUUCAGUGUGAUAACUUGGAGUUCAUAUUGUUGGGGGAGAUAAGCAGCGGGAGCAGGUGCUUCUUGAAUUCACUUAUCAGCGCUCCGGCUGCCCAGGCGCUCUGAUGCUGCGGGCGCGUCUCGGAGUGAGGCUUCUUGGGCCCCCAGGGCCACCGUUUCAUCUGCCGACCUCGCAGGGGUGAAGGCUCUCUUCUAGUCUGCGUUCAUCUUGCUGUAUCCUCACAUGGCUACGUCUUAGCUGCGGCACGUGGGGUCUUCUAGUUACAGCACACAGGAUCUUUAGUUCAGGCAUGUGAACUCUUUAGUUGCCACACGUGGGAUCUAGUUCCUUGACUGGGGAUCAAACCCGGGUCCCCUGCAC